Molecule: non-coding RNA, 24 nt
Filed under: Mus musculus (house mouse)
Lineage: Eukaryota; Metazoa; Chordata; Mammalia; Rodentia; Muridae
Source: RNAcentral
UAGUGGCAGGAGAGUGAGCUCACA